Molecule: ribosomal RNA, 359 nt
Filed under: uncultured bacterium
Lineage: Bacteria
Description: bacterial SSU rRNA
Rfam family: Bacterial small subunit ribosomal RNA
Source: RNAcentral
GUUGUCCGGAAUUAUUGGGCGUAAAGGGCUCSYMKGCRGUCUGUUGCGUCGGGAGUGAAAACUCAGGGCUUAACCCUGAGCCUGCUUCCGAUACGGGCAGACUAGAGGUAUGCAGGGGAGAACGGAAUUCCUGGUGUAGCGGUGAAAUGCGCAGAUAUCAGGAGGAACACCGGUGGCGAAGGCGGUUCUCUGGGCAUUACCUGACGUUGAGGAGCGAAAGUGUGGGGAGCGAACAGGAUUAGAUACCCUGGUAGUCCACACCGUAAACGUUGGGCGCUAGGUGUGGGACUCAUUCCACGAGUUCCGUGCCGCAGCUAACGCAUUAAGCGCCCCGCCUGGGGAGUACGGCCGCAAGGCUA